UACGUAGGGGGCAAGCGUUGUCCGGAUUUAUUGGGCGUAAAGAGCGUGUAGGCGGCCAAGCAGGUCCGCUGUGAAAACUCGAGGCUCAACCUCGAGACGUCGGUGGAAACCGUUUGGCUAGAGUCCGGAAGAGGAGAGUGGAAUUCCCGGUGUAGCGGUGAAAUGCGCAGAUAUCAGUAGGAACACCAAUGGCGAAGGCAGCUUGCUGGGCAUUUUCUGACGCUAAGGCACGAAAGCGUGGGGAGCGAACAGG
RNAcentral lists this ribosomal RNA (253 nucleotides) under uncultured bacterium. Its description in RNAcentral is "partial 16S ribosomal RNA". It matches the Rfam family "Bacterial small subunit ribosomal RNA", at positions 524 to 776 of the family's 1533-position model. The record is from RNAcentral.